This 1566-nucleotide long non-coding RNA is filed under the name Gossypium barbadense (sea-island cotton). RNAcentral's name for it is "long non-coding RNA (GBAR_LNC016142)". Lineage: Eukaryota; Viridiplantae; Streptophyta; Magnoliopsida; Malvales; Malvaceae. The record is from RNAcentral.
GGUAAGUCAAUUUAGUCUGUUUUCUUGUAAUUUUUAUGUUUUUAAAAUUUUAGUAUUAAAUACUACUUAACCUAUGUUAAAAUUUUAGAAAAUAUUGAAUUUUUAGAUGUUGUUCAUGUUGAAUAAUUUAAGUAUUUGGGAUUAAAUUGAUAGAAUUUUAAGUUAGAAAUGAAAAAGAGAUUGAAUUGUAAAAUAAAUUAUAAGUUUUGAGUAUUAGGGACUAAAUUGUAAAAAUUUAAAAAUUUAAGGAUUUGAGUGAAAUUAGAGAGUUGAAUUUAGUUUAAAGUGGAAAUUGAAUGAAAAUAUGGAAUUAGUUUUGAAGAAAUAAAGUUAGUCUCGGUUUAGGGACUAAAUUAAAAUUUAGACAAAAGAUGAAUAAAAAUUAAAAUAUUCAAUGUGAAAUUGUAUUGUAUUGAUGAAUUUUAAUUGUUUUAAUUUCUGUAGCUAAUGUUGUACCGAAAACUUCGACUAAAAAAGGAAAAGAUAAAGUCGAUGAGGAGUAGCUCGAAAAUUCUGGUUUGUAUUUCUAUAAUCCGAAUUUAAUUAUUAAUUGUUGUAUUUUGAUUUAAAUGUUUAUGGUAAGUUAAUAAGAUAAGUGUUAGCAUUUUUUAUAUUGAAUUGAAUGUAUGUGAAAUUGUGACUUAUGUGAUAAUUGUGGCAUUAGAAAAGUGAAUUGAAACCCUAUUAACUGUAUCGAGUUGAAUCGGAUAUAGAUGGCAUGCCAUAGGAUUGGAAAAGUUCAGGGAUACUUCGACUUCGAGUCGAUGAGACACUGGGUGUCAAAUUAUUACUUCGGAUAAAUUCGAUGAGGUACUGGGUACCAAUUUACUUCGGCAUAGCCGAUGAGACACUGGUGUUAACUUAUUGCUUCGAAUUAUCCGAUGAGGCACUGAGUGUCAAACUGGUGUGUUUUGGUUAGAUCCGUGUAUCCGUCCGAGUCCCUGUCAGGUUAAUAGGGGUUAUUGAAUAAAAUAAUGUUAUGAUUGAUAUUGAGCGGUGAUUUGAAAUAUGGUUAGAGACACAUGAUUUGUGUAUUUAUGAAUUGAAUAUGAAUGAACAAUAUUGUUGUUCAAAUGAUUUGUGCUAAUAUUGUGAAAAGCUAUAUGGGAUAGCAAAUGAUAAAAAUUGAAUGUGUUAUAAAUACUUUAUUUAUGAAUUGAAUAAUUGUAUGACUAUAGUUAUUGUAUGUUAUAUUAUUUUAUUUUUAAGCAUUCGGAUUAUAGAAAUACCACUAAGUUUAUACUCAGCGUACAGUUUGUUUUCCGUGCACAGGUUAGGUUAAAGUCAGAUUGCCGAUUCAGCAUCCAUCAAUGAUCCCGAACUCAAAACGUGGUGAUGUAUAUUUUUUUUUUGUCGGCAUAUACCUAGGAUGUCUUAUACUUGUGAUUUUGGGAAGUGAAUGUAAAUGAUGUUAUAAGAUGAUGUUGGCUAGUUAUAUACAUGAUGAAACGUGUUAAGUUGAGGUUUAAUAUGAAAUGUUGAAGUUGAGGCUUAAUUGGAUAAACACAUCAAACCACACUAUCCAACUUGUUCCGGUAGUUUUUGCAACACAUAUUAUGGUUUAUA